AUGAGCAUUUUUGAGCACGCAGAACACAUCGGCUCAGCCUGGAGCCAGCAGUUAGAGCGCGAACACACACACACACACACACACACACACACACACACACACACGCAGGCACGCACGCGGAGCAGUGCUUUCCUCUCAAGUGAGGCGGCAUUAGCAACUGCAGUUCCAGCUUCCUCAGCUGAGCUCCCGGCGGCCACUGCCUGCCUGAUUUGUCGGAGGAGCGCUAGAGUCCAGUUUCUGAGGGAUCCGGUAACAUGUAGCUGUCACAGCUGGUGGCAGACAGCCACUUCUUUCCAGCUGCUUCGCAGCCCUGGCAAGAGGACACCCUCUUCCAAAAUUCACGCUGCCUGGGGAGGAGGCUGCUCAGUGCAGAUUUCUUUGCAGGGUAGAGAAAAGGAUAACUCUGGAUACACUUUUUGUCCUGAACAAAGGAGACAGCACAGACAUCUUCAGACAAGUCCCACAUCUCCAAUAUUGCAGGAGGAAGCUUUACCUGUUCCACCUCAACACUUGCCCUGCACCCAUUUCUUUUCUGACAAGGAUGUGUCCUGCAAUUGCAAAGCUGACUCCUAAGGCUGGCAUUGUGGCAUAGAAGGAAAAGCUGUCGCCUGCAACACUGGCAUGCCUUAUGGAUGCUGGUUUGGGUCUGGGCUGCUCCGCCUUUGAUCUAGCUCCCUAGCAAUGGACUGGAAAAAGCAGCUGAGGAUGGUCCAUGUGUUUAGGUCCUUGCACCCACGUGAGAGACCCAGAUGAAGCUCCUCGCUCCUGGUUUCACCUUGGCCAAGCUGUAGCUAUUGCAGCCACCUGGGGAAUAAACCAGCAGAUGGAAGAUCUCUUUCUCUGUCU
This 846-nucleotide long non-coding RNA is filed under the name Oryctolagus cuniculus (rabbit). RNAcentral describes it as "lncRNA (ENSOCUG00000031223.1)". Lineage: Eukaryota; Metazoa; Chordata; Mammalia; Lagomorpha; Leporidae. The record is from RNAcentral.